CUCAUAAUUAAGCCUGUGACUGCUCCAGUGAGACUGCAGAGAUGAGUUCAGCUUCAUCAUCAACCAUGUUCUCAGUGGCUCUGAUCCUGCUGCUGGCUGCUGCAUCCUGUGUGUACGGUAUUGAUCUCAUCCAGGCAGAUUCAGUGAUUGUGCAGCCUGGACAGUCUUUGACCAUCACCUGUCGAGUCUCUGGUUAUUCUUUAACUUCUAGCAGCUAUGCAACAAACUGGAUCAGACAGCGGGAUGGAAAACAAAUGGAUUGGAUUUUUACCAUGUGGUAUGAUGGGAGCACAAGCAAAAAUGAUGCUUUAAAGAACAAGUUCAGCAUGAGCAGAGACACUUCUGCUAGAACAGUGACAAUAACAGGACAGAAUCUGCAGCCUGAGGACACAGCUGUUUAUUACUGUGCACGUAUGUACACAGUGAUGGACACAGCUGUUUAUUACUGUGCACGUGUUGAUGGUCAGACUCUGACUGAGUCUGAUCCAGCAGUUAAAAGGCCUGGAGAAUCUCACACACUGACCUGUACAGCCUCUGGAUUCACAUUCAGCAGACUACUGGAUGCACUGGGUGUUGAUGGUCAGACUCUGACAAGUCUGAACCAGGUUAAAAGACCAGGAGAAUCCCACAGACUGACCUGUACAGCCUCUGGAUUCACAUUCAGCAGCUACUAUGGCUGGAUCAGACAGGCUCCUGGAAAAGGACUGGAGUGGAUUGCUCAUCUGGAGUUGUUGAUGGUGGUGGUGUACUGCAUCUGGUGCAGCCUCCUGUUGAGCCAGACCAACAUGCAGUUGUGA
Haplochromis burtoni (Burton's mouthbrooder) is the source of this 797-nucleotide non-coding RNA. NCBI's taxonomy places the organism in Eukaryota, Metazoa, Chordata, Actinopteri, Cichliformes, Cichlidae. The record is from the annotation of a RefSeq genome assembly.